This 336-nucleotide ribosomal RNA is filed under the name Trichogaster lalius (dwarf gourami). RNAcentral's name for it is "partial 12S ribosomal RNA". It matches the Rfam family "Bacterial small subunit ribosomal RNA", at positions 1042 to 1525 of the family's 1533-position model. The record is from RNAcentral. Lineage: Eukaryota; Metazoa; Chordata; Actinopteri; Anabantiformes; Osphronemidae.
UAUACCGCCGUCGUCAGCUUACCCUGUGAAGGUUAAAUAGUAAGCAAAAUUGGUACAACCCAAAACGUCAGGCCGAGGUGUAGCGUAUGAGAGGGGAAAAAAUGGGCUACAUUUCCUAUGUAUAGGAAACACGAACAUUGUACUGAAACGUACAUUUGAAGGAGGAUUUAGCAGUAAGUAGAAAAUAGAGUGUUCUGCUGAAACUGGCUCUAAAGCGCGCACACACCGCCCGUCACUCUCCCCAAGCUUAUAACAUUACUAUAAUUAAUUUGUCAAAAUUGCAAAGGGGAGGCAAGUCGUAACAUGGUAAGUGUACCGGAAGGUGCACUUGGAUAA